AGGAUUAGAUACCCUGGUAGUCCACGCCGUAAACGAUGUCGACUAGCCGUUGGGACCUUUAAGGACUUAGUGGCGCAGUUAACGCGAUAAGUCGACCGCCUGGGGAGUACGGCCGCAAGGUUAAAACUCAAAUGAAUUGACGGGGGCCCGCACAAGCGGUGGAGCAUGUGGUUUAAUUCGAUGCAACGCGAAGAACCUUACCUACCCUUGACAUCCAGAGAACUUGGCAGAGAUGCCUUGGUGCCUUCGGGAACUCUGAGACAGGUGCUGCAUGGCUGUCGUCAGCUCGUGUUGUGAAAUGUUGGGUUAAGUCCCGUAACGAGCGCAACCCUUGUCCUUAUUUGCCAGCACGUAAUGGUGGGAACUCUAAGGAGACUGCCGGUGACAAACCGGAGGAAGGUGGGGACGACGUCAAGUCAUCAUGGCCCUUACGGGUAGGGCUACACACGUGCUACAAUGGCCGGUACAAAGGGUUGCGAGACCGCGAGGUGGAGCGAAUCCCAGAAAGCCGGCCUCAGUCCGGAUCGGAGUCUGCAACUCGACUCCGUGAAGUCGGAAUCGCUAGUAAUCGUGAAUCAGAAUGUCACGGUGAAUACGUUCCCGGGCCUUGUACACACCGCCCGUCACACCAUGGGAGUGGACUGCACCAGAAGUGGUUAGCUUAACC
This 667-nucleotide ribosomal RNA is filed under the name Salinicola sp. Its description in RNAcentral is "bacterial SSU rRNA". It matches the Rfam family "Bacterial small subunit ribosomal RNA", at positions 774 to 1440 of the family's 1533-position model. The record is from RNAcentral. Lineage: Bacteria; Pseudomonadati; Pseudomonadota; Gammaproteobacteria; Oceanospirillales; Halomonadaceae.